This is a long non-coding RNA of Aphis gossypii (cotton aphid), 525 nucleotides long. RefSeq lists it as uncharacterized. The transcript has 4 exons. The record is from RefSeq and is a predicted model, not a curated record. NCBI's taxonomy places the organism in Eukaryota, Metazoa, Arthropoda, Insecta, Hemiptera, Aphididae.
UAAGUUUGGAACGUACCGAGUAAGAGAAAAAAAAUAUUUUUAUACACAAUCUGAUGUUGUCGAUAUGCAAAAAUAAAUUAUGACACUAUACCCAGAUAUAGGUAUGGAUUAGUCAUUUUAAAAAUGCGUACCACCGCCCACUGGCGUGUACGGAAAAUACGUCGCCGAAUAAAUUACGAAGCACCUACGAAUGCAGCUGCUGGAACUGGAAGGUGUUGUACAUGGGACGUGGUCGUGUAUAGUUAAAUAAUUCAACCGUAGGUAUCGCGUUUGCAUGGUCACACUUCACACACAAAUCAUCUAAUUAGAAGAGGAAGAGACUCAAUUUUGUGUGUUUUGAAACGUUGCUCCGUAACGGACAACGACUAAAAGUAUAAAGGUAAACAAUAAUUCAAUGGACCACAACUAUGUACGUACGCGUCGAAUUGAUUUCAGCUAACCAAAAACAAAAAAAUCUAUUGGUGCACAAUGAGUACACUAUAAUAUGUAUCGCACGAUAAUUAACAAUAUAUUAUAUAUCACAGA